Molecule: ribosomal RNA, 137 nt
Filed under: uncultured Alphaproteobacteria bacterium
Lineage: Bacteria; Pseudomonadati; Pseudomonadota; Alphaproteobacteria
Description: partial 16S ribosomal RNA
Rfam family: Bacterial small subunit ribosomal RNA
Source: RNAcentral
GGGGGCACCCUGAUCUGCCAUGCCGCGUGGAGCGAUGAAGGCCUUAGGGUUGUAAAGCUCUUUCGCUGGGGAAGAUAAUGACGGUACCCAGUAAAGAAGCCCCGGCUAACUCCGUGCCAGCAGCCGCGGUAAUACGA